CAUGAUAUUUUUAUAGGAACUGAGCUACCAGAAACCAAUCACAUGGGCCUCUUUGCCAUUAACUUUUUUGGGACAUAUUGUGCUCAGAGCAUUAGAACCAAAUGAUAGAUAAUUGAAUGUAAUUUGAAUUAUGCUAAUUUCAUUAUGCAGGAUGGUCUGGUAAUUUGUUUGGGUAAAUUUUCUCAAAUUCCUUUUAGAUUAAUAGGCAUGGCUUAAUUAUUGUUGUACCUAUAGCUUUGUAGUUGCUUCUACAUUUGCAAGGCAAAAAUUAUUUCUGGAAAGAAGUUUCUGAAGAAAACUGUAUGUAUUUUUUUUUCUCUGUCUUUUAAGACUGAUAUCUAGGUAGCUUACUCUACUGCUAGGAAAAAGAUGAUGUAGGCCAUCAUUUACUGCCAAUAAACCUUGCCUUAAGAAUAAGGAUGACUGAGAUAACCUCUUUAAAAGUUUUGCCUUUUCUUGGAUUUCUUUUUCAUGCAACUGAUGUAUUAUUGUUACUGGUCUCCAGCUUUUUGGUCUCUAAUGCCUCCUGAUCAAGGUAGAAUAUAUGCCCCAGUUGAGCUUUCGUCUUCUUUGUCAUUUAGGUUCUUUGUAUUAUAAUCUCUGUGUUCGAUCUGUGGCAUUUGUCUUCCUCUUACCAUAAGCUCUAUCUACUAUGUUUUGAUUCCAGGUUCAAGAUGCAUCCAGUGGCCAUGAAAUUAGAAGGGAGUCCAUAGGAGGAGUUCAUCCAGAUUCAACUAGUGAUCAAGAAUUUGAGCACGCUCCAGUACUCACCAAGCCCUCUAGUUAAUGAUAAAUAGUAUUGUGGUCAAGUCUGCUUUUGAACAAUAUUAAGUUUGGGAAUGUUUCUUCCAGAGUUUCAGUUAUCUAGUAUGGUAGAUUCUUAGUAGAUUCGUAUAAUUAUGAAAGACUGGUUUGUUUGGUUAAUUUCAAUUUAUACUUGGUAAUGAAAUAUAACUUGGCACUUAUCAGUUGUGAGAUAGCUAUGAAUGAAAGGAUUAUUUUGGUGCUUUA
Rosa rugosa (rugosa rose) is the source of this 1011-nucleotide long non-coding RNA. RefSeq lists it as uncharacterized. The transcript has 3 exons. NCBI's taxonomy places the organism in Eukaryota, Viridiplantae, Streptophyta, Magnoliopsida, Rosales, Rosaceae. The record is from RefSeq and is a predicted model, not a curated record.